GAAAGCGUAACAGCUCACUGGUCGAGUGGGUCUGCGCCGAAAAUGUAACGGGGCUAAAGUAUAGUACCGAAGCUGUGGAUCAAGAAACUAUUUAUAGUUUUUUGGUGGUAGAAGAGCGUUGUGCCAUCAGUGAAUCAAUAUCGUGAGGUAUUGUGGAGAUCGCACAAGUGACCAUGCUGACAUGAGUAGCGAUAAAGCGGGUGAGAGGCCCGCUCGCCGUAAGCCCAAGGUUUCCUGAGUAAAGCUAAUCUGCUCAGGGUUAGUCG
This 266-nucleotide ribosomal RNA is filed under the name Ctenophora environmental sample. RNAcentral's name for it is "partial Bacterial large subunit ribosomal RNA". It matches the Rfam family "Bacterial large subunit ribosomal RNA", at positions 1128 to 1386 of the family's 2925-position model. Lineage: Eukaryota; Metazoa; Ctenophora. The record is from RNAcentral.